UACGUAGGGUGCGAGCGUUGUCCGGAAUUAUUGGGCGUAAAGGGCUCGUAGGCGGUUUGCCGCGUCGGGAGUGAAAACACCGGGCUUAACUCGGUGCUUGCUUUCGAUACGGGCAGACUAGAGGCAUGCAGGGGAGAACGGAAUUCCUGGUGUAGCGGUGAAAUGCGCAGAUAUCAGGAGGAACACCGGUGGCGAAGGCGGUUCUCUGGGCAUGUCCUGACGCUGAGGAGCGAAAGUGUGGGGAGCGAACAGG
This 253-nucleotide ribosomal RNA is filed under the name uncultured bacterium. Its description in RNAcentral is "partial 16S ribosomal RNA". It matches the Rfam family "Bacterial small subunit ribosomal RNA", at positions 524 to 776 of the family's 1533-position model. The record is from RNAcentral.